AUUGAACGCUGGCGGCAGGCCUAACACAUGCAAGUCGAGCGGAUGAAGGGAGCUUGCUCCUGGAUUCAGCGGCGGACGGGUGAGUAAUGCCUAGGAAUCUGCCUGGUAGUGGGGGAUAACGUCCGGAAACGGGCGCUAAUACCGCAUACGUCCUGAGGGAGAAAGUGGGGGAUCUUCGGACCUCACGCUAUCAGAUGAGCCUAGGUCGGAUUAGCUAGUUGGUGGGGUAAAGGCCUACCAAGGCGACGAUCCGUAACUGGUCUGAGAGGAUGAUCAGUCACAGAGGGACUGAGAGACGGCCCAGAUGCGUAUGGGAGGCAGAAGUGGGGAGUAUUGCAAAGUGAGUGCAAGGCAGAUGAAGAGAUGUAGCGUACUGGAUAACGUUUUUCGGGUUGAAAACGCAUUUCGCUAGGGACUACGCAUUAUGUGACGGUACCUAGAGAAGAAGCAACGGCUAACUACGUG
This 465-nucleotide ribosomal RNA is filed under the name uncultured bacterium. RNAcentral describes it as "partial 16S ribosomal RNA". It matches the Rfam family "Bacterial small subunit ribosomal RNA", at positions 30 to 507 of the family's 1533-position model. The record is from RNAcentral.